AUUGAACGCCGGCGGCAUGCCUUACACAUGCAAGUCGAACGGCAGCACGGGGCAACCUGGUGGCGAGUGGCGAACGGGUGAGUAAUGCAUCGGAACGUGCCAUUGAGUGGGGGGAUAACGUAGCGAAAGUUGCGCUAAUACCGCAUAUUCUGUGAGCAGGAAAGCAGGGGACCGCAAGGCCUUGCGCUCUUUGAGCGGCCGAUGUCAGAUUAGCUAGUUGGUGAGGUAACGGCUUACCAAGGCGACGAUCUGUAGCGGGUCUGAGAGGAUGAUCCGCCACACUGGAACUGAGACACGGUCCAGACUCCUACGGGAGGCAGCAGUGGGAAUUUUGGACAAUGGGCGCAAGCCUGAUCCAGCCAUGCCGCGUGAGUGAAGAAGGCCUCGGGUUGUAAAG
This 397-nucleotide ribosomal RNA is filed under the name uncultured bacterium. RNAcentral describes it as "bacterial SSU rRNA". It matches the Rfam family "Bacterial small subunit ribosomal RNA", at positions 30 to 430 of the family's 1533-position model. The record is from RNAcentral.